GUGGGGAAUCUUCCGCAAUGGACGAAAGUCUGACGGAGCAACGCCGCGUGAGUGAAGAAGGUUUUCGGAUCGUAAAGCUCUUUCGUUAGGGACGAACGUGCUCUUUGUGAAUAAUGAGGAGUAAUGACGGUACCUAAAUAAGAAGCCACGGCUAACUACGUGCCAGCAGCCGCGGUAAUACGUAGGUGGCAAGCGUUGUCCGGAAUUAUUGGACGUAAAGCGCGCGCAGGCGGGAUAUCAAGUCUGUCUUAAAAGUGCGAGGCUCAACCUCGUGAGGGGACAGAAACUGGUAUUCUUGAGUGUCGGAGAGGAAAGUGGAAUUCCAAGUGUAGCGGUGAAAUGCGUAGAGAUUUGGAAGAACACCAGUGGCGAAGGCGACUUUCUGGACGAUGUCUGACGCUGAGGCGCGAAAGCUAGGGGAGCGAACGGGAUUAGAUACCCCUGUAGUCC
This 450-nucleotide ribosomal RNA is filed under the name uncultured bacterium. RNAcentral describes it as "partial 16S ribosomal RNA". It matches the Rfam family "Bacterial small subunit ribosomal RNA", at positions 354 to 796 of the family's 1533-position model. The record is from RNAcentral.